Molecule: ribosomal RNA, 432 nt
Filed under: uncultured bacterium
Lineage: Bacteria
Description: bacterial SSU rRNA
Rfam family: Bacterial small subunit ribosomal RNA
Source: RNAcentral
AGAUGGCGACCGGCGCACGGUGAGUAACGCGUAUCCAACCUCCUGCCAGUAGGGAACAGCCCGGCGAAAGUCGGAUUAAUGCCCUAUGUUCUCAAUGCGGACAUCUAAGUUGAAGGAAAGAUUCAUCGCUGGCAGAUGGGGAUGCGUCCGAUUAGCUUGCCGGCGGGGUAACGGCCCACCGGGGCGACGAUCGGUAGGGGUUCUGAGAGGAAGGUCCCCCACACUGGUACUGAGACACGGACCAGACUCCUACGGGAGGCAGCAGUGAGGAAUAUUGGUCAAUGGGCGUAAGCCUGAACCAGCCAAGUAGCGUGCAGGAAUGACGGCCCUACGGGUUGUAAACUGCUUUUAUGCGGGGAUAAAGUGCGGCACGUGUGCCGCUUUGCAGGUACCGCAUGAAUAAGGACCGGCUAAUUCCGUGCCAGCAGCAGC